CCCUUAGAUGUUCUGGGCCGCACGCGCGCUACACCGAUGCAUUCAACGAGCCUAUCCUUGACCGACAGGUCCGGGUAAUCUUUGAAUCUGCAUCGUGACGGGGAUAGAUUAUUGCAAUUAUUAAUCUUCAACGAGGAAUGCCUAGUAGGCGCAAGUCAUCAGCUUGCGUCGAUUACGUCCCUGCCCUUUGUACACACCGCCCGUCGCUCCUACUGAUUGGGUGUGCUGGUGAAAUGUUCGGAUCGGCCGUUUGUCGCGGUUUCCGCGUCAUGUGGCUGAGAAGUUCAUUAAACCCUCCCACCUAGAGGAAGGAGAAGUCGUAACA
Molecule: ribosomal RNA, 325 nt
Filed under: uncultured eukaryote
Lineage: Eukaryota
Description: partial 18S ribosomal RNA
Rfam family: Eukaryotic small subunit ribosomal RNA
Source: RNAcentral